UCCCAGUUUAUCCCAGUGCCCCCAGCCCCAUUCCCAGCCCAAACCAGUAUAAACCAGUAUAAACCAGUAUAAACCAGUAUAAACCAGUAGGUUCCCGUACGGUUCCGGUCCAGCCGCAGCAGCCGCAGGCGGGGGAGGGGCGAGGCCACGCCCACCUCGGUCACGUGGUUCCCGGAGAGAUCCAGCUCCUGCAAACUGGGACGUACUGGGACAGACUGGGACGUACUGGGAUGGACUGGGAGGGACUGGGAGGGACUGGGAUCAAACUGGGAGGGACUGGGAGGGACUGGGAGGGACUGGGAUGGACUGGGACAAACUGGGAUCAAACUGGGAUAUACUGGGAUGGACUGGGACAAACUGGGAGGGACUGGGAUCAAACUGGGAUAUACUGGGAUGGACUGGGAUCAAACUGGGAUGGACUGGGGUGGGACUGGUUUAUACUGGGAGGGACUGGGAUCAAACUGGGAGGGACUGGGAUGGACUGGGACGGACUGGGACAAACUGGGACGGACUGGGAUCAGACUGGGACGGACUGGGAUCAAACUGGGAUAUACUGGGAGGGACUGGGACGGACUGGGAUUGGACUGGUUUAUACUGGGAGGGACUGGGAUCAAACUGGGAUGGACUGGGAGUUACUGGGACAAACUGGGGUGCGUUACUGGUGUAACUGGGUUGGUUACUGGCCUGUACUGGCCUGUACUGGCCUGUACUGGUCUGUACUGGUCUAUACUGGUCUAUACUGGUUUGUACUGGUCCAUACUGGUUUCUCACCCGCAGCCUCCGCAGCGCCCCCAGCGCCGGCAGCGCCCGCAGUUCGUUCCCAGCCAGAUCCAAGCGGCUCAGGGCGCCCAUCCGCUCCACCAACGGCAGCGAGGUCAGGCCCUAAACCAGU
RNAcentral lists this long non-coding RNA (892 nucleotides) under Junco hyemalis (dark-eyed junco). RNAcentral describes it as "lncRNA (ENSJHYG00000001934.1)". Lineage: Eukaryota; Metazoa; Chordata; Aves; Passeriformes; Passerellidae. The record is from RNAcentral.